RNAcentral lists this ribosomal RNA (378 nucleotides) under uncultured bacterium. Its description in RNAcentral is "bacterial SSU rRNA". It matches the Rfam family "Bacterial small subunit ribosomal RNA", at positions 521 to 896 of the family's 1533-position model. The record is from RNAcentral.
UAAUACGGAGGGUGCGAGCGUUGUCCGGAAUCACUGGGCGUAAAGGGCGCGUAGGCGGCGGAGUAAGCGUGCGGUGAAAGCUCGGGGCUCAACCCCGAGUCGGCCGUGCGAACUGCUCUCGCUCGAGCAUUGUAGAGGUCGAUGGAAUUCCGGGUGUAGCGGUGGAAUGCGUAGAGAUCCGGAAGAACACCGGUGGCGAAGGCGGUCGACUGGGCAAUGGCUGACGCUGAGGCGCGACAGCGUGGGGAGCAAACAGGAUUAGAUACCCUGGUAGUCCACGCCGUAAACGAUGGGCACUAGAUGCUUGGGGGAGCGACCCUCUGAGUGUCGGCGCUAACGCAUUAAGUGCCCCGCCUGGGGAGUACGGCCGCAAGGCUG